RNAcentral lists this long non-coding RNA (432 nucleotides) under Rosa chinensis. Its description in RNAcentral is "sRNA RchiOBHm_Chr5g0052961". Lineage: Eukaryota; Viridiplantae; Streptophyta; Magnoliopsida; Rosales; Rosaceae. The record is from RNAcentral.
CUUCCCUCCAACUCCCCCAUUUUAGCUAUCAGAUUCAUUUCAUUACUCUUCCCAUCACCACAGUCCUCUCACUUUCCUUCCUGAUCUCCAUCAGCCAUGGCAUUUCGCUUUUAUAAUUUGGCCUGGGUUAUGAUUUCAUCGCACUCCAAUGCCCUCUCCGCCCACUGCCGUUUCGCCUCCAUGCUGCACCACCACAUCUUCCAAACCUAAAGUCUGAGCAAAGCAAAUUCGCUCAGCACGAAUGGGUAUUCCUUCUCUCCAUUUCAAUUUGUAGCUAAUGGGUAAAACCCAAAUUGGGAAUUCAUUUUGGGGUUUCUUUUUUAUCUGAGGAUGAACACGCACCAAGUUUUCAAGACGCGAGCCCAACACCUGCAGUCGUAGUAGUAGUCAUUGUAAUCGACGGUGGUGGAGGAGUCAGAGUCAUCAGGACGC